GACGAACCGUGCUAACGUUAUUCGGAAUCACUGGGCAUAAAGGGCGCGUAGGCGGCUUUCUAAGUCAGGGGUGAAAUCCGGCAGCUCAACUGUCGCAGUGCCUUUGAUACUGAGAAGCUUGAGUCCGGGAGAGGUGAGUGGAACUGCGAGUGUAGAGGUGAAAUUCGUAGAUAUUCGCAAGAACACCAGUGGCGAAGGCGGCUCACUGGCCCGGUACUGACGCUGAGGUGCGAAAGCGUGGGGAGCAAACAGG
RNAcentral lists this ribosomal RNA (253 nucleotides) under uncultured bacterium. RNAcentral describes it as "partial 16S ribosomal RNA". It matches the Rfam family "Bacterial small subunit ribosomal RNA", at positions 524 to 776 of the family's 1533-position model. The record is from RNAcentral.